AGAGAAUGCUAAUGUUUGCUGCUCAUGAAAUAAUAUAGAUAUUUUGUUUUUCAUAGACAAUCAUCGUACAUCAACUAUUCCUCCUAAUGGUUAUAUCUGUAAUGAAGAUCUUGAGUCUGGUUUACAAACACCCUUCAGAAAACUCCCUCUUAUCAACUUGAACAAUGCGUUAUUUAUAACUAUGCUAACUGAAAUAAAGAACAAAUGGUUGUUUCGAUGGAUAUAUCAUUCAAACUUAGAAUUUUUGUCUUGGAUAAUACAGCUUUUACAAUUGUUUAUGAUAUUUACACGGACAAACAUCAUCGUCGACAAAACAUACCUUGAAUCAUCUUUGUCUGGCAGUCCUUGACGAUCCACGCUGACAAUCCUAUGAUGUCAUACGCAUUAAUAAUAGAAAAAGCUGUGAAUUAUAUCAUAAAAUUGAGAAUGUCACAGGGGAUUAUCUUAUGGUUAUAACAUCUAAACUGAUAACGCAUGCUUAGACAUUUUCCGCGUAAAUGUGUGAAACUGCGCUCUAGAUAAGAAAUGGAUCGGAUGUCAGUGAACUUCAACUGUUUCUUUCUUUUUUUUCAUAUAUGUUAUCCGUAAUUUAUUUGCAAUAUAUUGCUUUAUAUCUUGAGAAUGCAGUUUAAUUUGAAAAAAAUAACAAUGCCUUUUUUUUUGUUUUUUAAAAAUAAACUCACAAAC
This 687-nucleotide long non-coding RNA is filed under the name Mytilus galloprovincialis (Mediterranean mussel). The record is from RNAcentral. Lineage: Eukaryota; Metazoa; Mollusca; Bivalvia; Mytilida; Mytilidae.